This 277-nucleotide ribosomal RNA is filed under the name uncultured bacterium. RNAcentral describes it as "partial 16S ribosomal RNA". It matches the Rfam family "Bacterial small subunit ribosomal RNA", at positions 335 to 605 of the family's 1533-position model. The record is from RNAcentral.
ACUCCUACGGGAGGCAGCAGUGGGGAAUAUUGCACAAUGGGCGCAAGCCUGAUGCAGCCAUGCCGCGUGUGUGAAGAAGGCCUCGGUUGUAAAUGCACUUUCAGUUGUGAGGAAAGGUUAGUCGCUAAUAUCGGCUAGCUGUGACGUUAGCAACAGAAGAAGCACCGGCUAACUCCGUGCCAGCAGCCGCGGUAAUACGGAGGGUGCGAGCGUUAAUCGGAAUUACUGGGCGUAAAGCGCGUGUAGGUGGCUUGUUAAGCCAGAUGUGAAAGGCCCC